UUGUUGCUUACCUGUCUCGAUGGUAUUCAUUGGCCGCGUUGCUCGUUUUCAUCUCGCGCUCUCAUGGGGCGUGAGAUGAACUAGUUGGUGCCUUGCGUGUUCCUUCAUGAGCCAUUGGCUUAUGCAUCGGCCCAUGCUCGGUAGCUGGUUCUCUCGGAUGCUGAAAAUUAUGUGGGCAAAGGGUUCGAACCCCUUCAUCACAAGCCCAAGAACAGCGCUCGUCGCUCAAACCGAAAGACGUUGCUCCUCGCCUUGGCCUUAUUGAGCCUUCGGUUCUUGUAAUGGCCAUGCGUCGUGCCAUCGUCUCGA
RNAcentral lists this unclassified non-coding RNA (309 nucleotides) under Euonymus hamiltonianus. Its description in RNAcentral is "partial contains external transcribed spacer and 18S ribosomal RNA". The record is from RNAcentral. Lineage: Eukaryota; Viridiplantae; Streptophyta; Magnoliopsida; Celastrales; Celastraceae.